CGGAGACACACGUGACCCAGGACCAGACCCACUGUAACUGCGGCGAUGACUCAGACAUGUAGCUGAGCCACUGGGAAAAUGUGGCAAAAGCGGUUCCCGAAUUACUCCUGGCAGAUGACAUGACAUGACUGAAAACAAGAUUUCUGGAGUCCCUGCAGCUGCCGGUGAAGAAACAGAUCAUUCCUGGGACAUCUGGAGAGCAGCAAAAGAUGACUCGGUCUUCCA
This is a non-coding RNA of Pelodiscus sinensis (Chinese soft-shelled turtle), 225 nucleotides long. The record is from RefSeq and is a predicted model, not a curated record. Lineage: Eukaryota; Metazoa; Chordata; Testudines; Trionychidae.